GAUGAACGCUGGCGGCGUGCCUAAUACAUGCAAGUCGAGCGGACGGACGAGAAGCUUGCUUCUCUGAUGUUAGCGGCGGACGGGUGAGUAACACGUGGCUAACCUACCUAUAAGACUGGGAUAACUUCGGGAAACCGGAGCUAAUACCGGAUAAUAUUUUGAACCGCAUGGUUCAAAAGUGAAAGACGGUCUUGCUGUCACUUAUAGAUGGAUCCGCGCUGCAUUAGCUAGUUGGUAAGGUAACGGCUUACCAAGGCAACGAUGCAUAGCCGACCUGAGAGGGUGAUCGGCCACACUGGAACUGAGACACGGUCCAGACUCCUACGGGAGGCAGCAGUAGGGAAUCUUCCGCAAUGGGCGAAAGCCUGACGGAGCAACGCCGCGUGAGUGAAGAAGGUCUUCGGAUCGUAAAGCUCUGUUAUUAGGGAAGAACAUAUGUGUAAGUAACUGUGCACAUCUUGACGUUACCUAAUCAGAAAGCCACGGCUAACUACGUG
RNAcentral lists this ribosomal RNA (497 nucleotides) under uncultured bacterium. Its description in RNAcentral is "partial 16S ribosomal RNA". It matches the Rfam family "Bacterial small subunit ribosomal RNA", at positions 28 to 507 of the family's 1533-position model. The record is from RNAcentral.